UGUCUCUGGAAGGUAAAGGACAGCUGUGGGUCAUCAUUGUGUUCAGUCAUGUGACGAUCAGAACUAAGUGAUUCAAUUAUUUAUGGAACUGAACAGCAUUUUCAUCAACUAGAAUAUUUCAGUGUUCUGACUUAAAAGAUUACAAACUAUAGCUGCUUUGCAUUUGCUUUAGUUUCUAUGCAAGUUGGAAAGAAUAAAAUAAAUCAUAUUCAAUGCCCUCAUUAACACUCCAGCCAGGGCUUUGGUUUAAACCGGGCGUCACAAGAAUACCCCCCCCCCAAUUGCUCAACUACCACCACUGUUUACACAGACCAGGAGUCCUUGCCUGAGGAGAGCUGAUGGAGGAGCCGUGCACCUGGAGAACCAUGAGUCUGCCUGCCAACAAGUAGUACUGGUAUGUUUGCAUGAACUAAACAUGACUUGUACUGGGAAACAACAGUUUACUACCAGACAUUAUAGCAAACUACCACUGAUGUCAGACCAUCAAACUACCACUUUGAUUGUGCCCAGACAUUGAGGCCAAACGGCCCCGUUUGUCCCCAAACAGGAAGGCGGGGCACAGGGAGGUGAUGGAGGACCUGCCUGGUGAAGGACGUCAGGGUGGGGCGAGUGACACCCGACUCCAAGGGGAUAUCCACUGAGGAGAGAGCUGAAGGAGCCAUGCAUCUGGAAGGUGCAGUUGAAAUGCUGUGUCCAGUCUGGGACAGACAGACCUGAGCUGCAUCAAACCUGUAUCUCUGACCAGCUGGAGGCCUUUAGUGAUCAACAACCGCCACUCAUCGCUGGCCUGUGGAUUCAUCUACUCCACACUCACACAACCUGACUUUGGCCUGUGGAUUCAUCUCCUCCACACUCGCGCAACGUGACCUUCUCACCAUCUGUUGCAUGUUUGGAUGCACCUAGCGUGUUCCAUCGAGGGUUCCUUCCUCCCCACGGUGGGAGGGUUCCUUGUCCUUCAAGGCGUCGGGGUUCAGUGUUAGGGACAGAGUUAGGGACAGAUGGCUGCGCUGGAUUCACGAUAUACGCUUUGUGAUCAAAAUGGGUUCGGACAUCGGACAAAACGCUUCCCAAAAUGUUUCAAUGUGCAAACGAUUUUAUAAAAUGUAUACUCAUGGUGUUUAUAUAAAAUCGUAUAUAACAAA
This is a long non-coding RNA of Gadus macrocephalus (Pacific cod), 1142 nucleotides long. RefSeq lists it as uncharacterized. Lineage: Eukaryota; Metazoa; Chordata; Actinopteri; Gadiformes; Gadidae. The record is from RefSeq and is a predicted model, not a curated record. The transcript is spliced from 3 exons.